CACAAAAAGCUCAAAACUCCACUGGUUCCAAUAUAGAAUAAUACACAGAAUAUUGGGCACAAAUAAAUUUUUAUUUAAGAUAAAAAUAAAACAAAGCGAUAAAUGUACUUUCUGCAAUGAAGUUACUGAAGAUAUUGAACACAUAUUUUGGACAUGCCAUAAAAUAGCAGAUCUGUGGAUAAGACUCAUGGACUGGAUUUAUAACCAAACACAAAUAAUUAUUCCAUUUAACAUGGAUAUAAUUUUAUUCGGAAAUUUAGGAAAAACAGAAAAUAAUAAAAUAAAAAACUUAAUAAUACUUUUAUCAAAAUUCUUUAUCUAUAGAACAAAACUGUGUGAAAAUCAAGUAAAUUUUGCAGGGCUGAAAAACUAUCUAAAAGAAAAUCUAAUACUAGAAAAGAAUAUAUUUUUUAAAACAAAGCCUCUUCACAUUGCCAACCUCUACUGGGACCCCUGGCUUCCAUUAUUAGAAUAAUUUACACUUAAGCAACUUAAUUAGCAUUACCCUAUGUAAUGUUAUUGUGCAUUUUAUUUUAGCCUUCUCACACCAACAUAUAUGUUUUUAUAUAAUAUACUGUUA
Molecule: long non-coding RNA, 580 nt
Filed under: Mytilus galloprovincialis (Mediterranean mussel)
Lineage: Eukaryota; Metazoa; Mollusca; Bivalvia; Mytilida; Mytilidae
Source: RNAcentral